GCUUUUUCGAUCGGUCUGGGUCUCGGCUUGUGUUUUGGGGUUUUUUCUCUUUCUUUUUUUUUUUUUUUUGUUUGUUUGCUUUUGGCUGCCCAUUCUACUUACAAUAUUUGUGGGAUAUCACCAGAGAUCUCUGCAACUGCAUCCGAAAUCCCAAAGACUCAAAUAAAAACAAAAUAAAGGAGCCUCAUCGCCAUGAACAGUGACUGUUGCUGCUGCUGCUGUGUGUGAAUUUCGAUUCGGUCUGGCGUCUGUUCUGCGUCAGAGGUUGGAGCUAUGGAGCUGCACAGCUUCGUCGUCACCCAUGAAGUGACGGAUCAUAAAUUUUGUGAGUUGCCUUGAGAGCACAUAAACGGAAGACAAUGAAAGAUAUUUGUACAUAUGAUUUGACAAUGUGAAGAACUUUUGACUAUAUCGAUAGUCACGGGUCUAUAUAUGGCAAAUUAAGCAUUAACAAUUUGAAUUCCCAUUAAUUGAAAAGAGUAUUUCACAAUCUUG
Drosophila albomicans is the source of this 495-nucleotide long non-coding RNA. RefSeq lists it as uncharacterized. The transcript has 3 exons. Lineage: Eukaryota; Metazoa; Arthropoda; Insecta; Diptera; Drosophilidae. The record is from RefSeq and is a predicted model, not a curated record.